CCUACGGGAAGGCAGCAGUGAGGAAUAUUGGUCAAUGGACGCAAGUCUGAACCAGCCAUGCCGCGUGAAGGAUGAAGGCCUUCUGGGUUGUAAACUUCUUUUAUCUGGGAAGAAAAGCAUUGUUUCUACGAUGUCCGACGGUACCAGAGGAAUAAGCACNGGCUAACUCCGUG
This 173-nucleotide ribosomal RNA is filed under the name uncultured bacterium. Its description in RNAcentral is "partial 16S ribosomal RNA". It matches the Rfam family "Bacterial small subunit ribosomal RNA", at positions 338 to 507 of the family's 1533-position model. The record is from RNAcentral.